AUUUAGAUAGUUUAAUAUAGAAUAAUAAUUUGUGGAAUUAUAGGUGUAAUUUACUCUGAAUU
RNAcentral lists this transfer RNA (62 nucleotides) under Panaorus albomaculatus. RNAcentral's name for it is "tRNA-His". The record is from RNAcentral. Lineage: Eukaryota; Metazoa; Arthropoda; Insecta; Hemiptera; Rhyparochromidae.